Molecule: transfer-messenger RNA, 352 nt
Filed under: Caloramator australicus
Lineage: Bacteria; Bacillati; Bacillota; Clostridia; Eubacteriales; Clostridiaceae
Also listed under: 2 other names
Description: Standard tmRNA
Rfam family: transfer-messenger RNA
About the family: Bacterial tmRNA, also known as 10Sa RNA or SsrA, is named for its dual tRNA and mRNA-like properties.
Source: RNAcentral
GGGGGCGUCUUGGCUUUCGACGGGGGUAGGAGGAAUUCGGGAAGCGAGUCGUGGUGCUCGGAACCACGUUAAAAACCGGGAAUUAAAAAUAAACGCAAACGAUAAUUUAGCUUUAGCUGCCUAAUUAAAGGCGGUCGUCCUACCCAAGAGGCCCACGGCUUGGGAUAGGGCGUGGACUAGUGGGGAACGGGCCUAUCUAAGCUUUGCGAUAGGUCGGCAUCUAUGAAGCUACUGAAAUCCGAAUCCUGUCAGUGGGAGUCGGAUGGAGGGAAUGUCAAAACACUGACUGCACUCGGAGAUGCCUGGGUUUCACUGCCUUCGGACAGGGGUUCAACUCCCCUCGCCUCCACCA